CUUUGAAGUGACUGGGAUGGAGGUGCUCAAUUAAAAGCCCAUCAGUCUCAUUGCUGGAGGAGUCAGCUAAGGUCGUAUUUGCCAAAGCAUCGGAAAGCAACAAAUCCCUGUGCAAGCAGCAGCUGUGGAUCACCUGCUCCAGAGGCCUCUGCACUGCCAUUGGGUAGAGCCAAGGGUGAACAUCAGAAGUCGGAUGGCAGAGCUAGAAAAGAUGGACUGAAGACCAGAACCUGAGUCUACCCCUAAAUCACCACCAGGCCAUGGGCAAGUCACAAUCCUUGCUGGGCCUCAUCUGCACAACCAGAAAGUUGUGGCUGGGAUUCUCAGAGCUUUGCUGUGAAUAGCCUGUGGUGGCCGAUAGAUCUUUCUGCUUCUCUUGGGUCUGGCUGCAAGAUGAAAGAGCGGGAGGGAAGAGAGGGAAGCUGAAAAGCAAGGUCAAUCAAUUCUGAGCCAAGACAGAGCCUAAGAGAUAGGGCGUGGCAUGCUGAAAGAUGAUGGCUGGCAAAAAUCAUUAGAAGCAUCUUUCAACAAUCUAUAUGCCGUUAUUGAUUUUGUUAUGGAUCUUCUCCUUCCAUCCCUUUCCCCCCACCCCAAGAUCUUCUGGAUCAAUACAGCAAGUGCAUUGAGACUGUAGCAACACAUUUAAAACCUUAUAAAAGGUUAUUUAGUUGCUAACAGUGCAGUGGUUUCUGCAGAGCCUGCCAAAAGGUUACAGCUUUUUGGGGAUCAUAAAUUACAGGCGACAGGAAAAAAGUAAGUGCGGUUUUCUUUAUUGUCUCAAUGAUGGAUGGACUCCUGAACAGGGCAGAAAAUACAUCAUAUCACCUUUAAUGGGCGUGCAUUUCUGCAGCCAUAACUCACCAUUUUAAAAUAGAAAAUGGUGAAAUAUGGCAUUGUAUAUUCCACUUGUGACAUAUUUAUGAGUCCUUGCCUUCUUAUAAAUACAGUGAUUGCUAUUUCAAAGCUCCGUGUCAGGUAUGAGCUGA
Molecule: long non-coding RNA, 986 nt
Filed under: Cricetulus griseus (Chinese hamster)
Lineage: Eukaryota; Metazoa; Chordata; Mammalia; Rodentia; Cricetidae
Description: lncRNA (ENSCGRG00015040899.1)
Source: RNAcentral